Molecule: long non-coding RNA, 1142 nt
Organism: Xiphophorus couchianus (Monterrey platyfish)
Lineage: Eukaryota; Metazoa; Chordata; Actinopteri; Cyprinodontiformes; Poeciliidae
Exons: 3
Source: RefSeq, a predicted model, not a curated record
UCGAGCGACUACAGAAUAAGAUCCAUGUUCGGUCAGUUUGGGUCUUAUGGACCAUUCAGAACAUUCACUUCUGGAGAGGCGCCGACAUUAGCUCUGGGACACGGUUACAAGCUAAUCUGUAGAUGGCUAUGCUAUGUUAGACAUCCGGUCUAACCAACAGGUGUUCAAUGUCUGGCCUUCGGGCCGUUUGCGGGCCUCGGGAGGAUUUUAUUUGGCCAAAUUUGGCAAAUGCUAACCGGUGACAUAUUGUUUAGAUUCACCAUUUACAAAUACGUUUUCUACAGAUAUCACAAUGAUGGACUGGAAGUUAUCAAAUCUGUUUAAUCAAAACCCAAGUCGGUCGUGAAAGAUGACCGCCAACACUGAGCCUGGUUCUGGUUCUGCUGGAAGUUUCUUCCUGUUAAAGAAUCUGGAUUUACAAAUGAAACGCAGAAAAACCACUUUCAUCUGAAAACUGGACUCUGGACUUUCAUGGUAAGUUUUCAAAUGUUUUCAGCUCCACUUAGGCAAUAAGAACAAAACAAAUGAACUGAACAAAGUUUUAAUUCACUAUAUUAUCAUAUUGUUACUGUUAUAAUAUUCCACAUACUACAACAGGGACAAGGUAAAAAAUAUAUAUUUUUCAUACGCUACAUUUUAAAUUUCACACAAUACUGGUCCAAGGAAGUUACAAAGAAAUCUGAAACGUUUUCUGGCAUUUAGCAAAUAGAAAUAAUUUUGGUAAUUAGGUUUAGCAUUAACUGACCUGAAAUAAGAGAAAUUUGGUCCAAUUUAACUUCAGAUGGGGGAAGAAAAAAAACCUUAUAAUCUUUCAGCUGUAAAUAACACUUUCCACAUUCGGGCUUUUAAUCAAACCUUAGGCCGAACUUUACUACAAAUAUCAAGCACUUUCCAAACCUCCAAGGAUUUUCAAGAAUAUCAAGGACCGACCCGCAUAAACAUUGGUCCAGUUUUCUUCCACUUCACUGCUAAGCUCUAUUUUGUGUUGGUCUUUCUCUUAAAAUCCUAGUAAAUAUUUUAAAAUCUCUGGUUGGAACAAGAGGAAAUGUAAAAAAAAGUUGGAGGAGGAUGAAUAUUUUUUCGCUUUAAUUUACAUCCAAACUGGGAGAAAAGUUCAGGAAUUGUUCCGUGGAGCAAAAGCG